AAUACAUUUUUUAUGGCAACAUUUUGCUUUGUCAUUUUCAAUCAUGUCGUGACAUGUUGAAAACGCGCGCGCUCCGUCUCCGUGGCCGUGGUAUCUGCGAUUGAAGAAGCCAUCCAUAAAUCAAUAGCCAAUUAUUUAAAAUGUGAAGCAAAGUGAACUAUACUUACUUAGUUUUACUUGAAAUCUUAAAAAGGUAAGGCAAGGAGAAUAAAAUCUUAAAAAGGAACUGAUUUUUCUAUUUGUUGUUUGUGGAAACAGUAAUGGAUUCGUUGAAAGAACUUUUGGAAUCGUGGAAUAUACCACAAGUUGUAGUGACCAAUUUUAUUGAGAAUGGUAUAACGAUUGAACAUUUCCCCAAAUUAAAACUAGACAAUUUGAAAGAAUUAUGCCCACAUAUGGGGACUAGACUAUCUUUAGAGGAAAAGAUAGGGGAGCUUAUUACUGCACAGGCAACGACGGAUGCAGUAUCUGAAUCAACUGAUGAUCAAGUCAUUAUUACUCCCACCUCCAGUAAAUUUGAGACAAGCACCAGUGAUUGUUUAUUUUUGUUAGUUUUUUACCAGUUUAUUAGUUUCAUUAGAUGAACUACAAAUGGUCGACAUCUUGGAAACAACCAAAAGUGUAUCUAGAAAAACAUUUCCACAUUUUGAUUUGGAGACACUACUGCAUACGUCAGCAGGUGGCAAUAGUAUUUUAAAAUACUAUGAAACAUAUGGUUUUCUCAAUAAUACCAAGAGAAACCAGUUGACUGAUAUAAUUAUAAAACAUAUAUACACAUACAUUGUCAAUUACCGGAUAACCUAUGAAGAAUAUAAUAUUAUAUCUGCGAAAAUAAUAUCACUGUUUCCAAAGGAGUCAAUAGGCACUUAUUUUACCAAACCUAUAAAAAAAAAUAAUUCAUUUAAUGGACGUUCUACAGUAGCACGAGGAAAA
Molecule: long non-coding RNA, 933 nt
Organism: Hyposmocoma kahamanoa
Lineage: Eukaryota; Metazoa; Arthropoda; Insecta; Lepidoptera; Cosmopterigidae
Exons: 4
Source: RefSeq, a predicted model, not a curated record